UCGGUCUGGCGGCGAGUGGCGAACGGGUGAGUAAUGUAUCGGAACGUGCCUAGUAGCGGGGGAUAACUACUCGAAAGAGUAGCUAAUACCGCAUACGCCCUACGGGGGAAAGGGGGGGAUCGCAAGACCUCUCACUAUUAGAGCGGCCGAUAUCGGAUUAGCUAGUUGGUGAGGUAAAGGCUCACCAAGGCGACGAUCCGUAGCUGGUUUGAGAGGACGACCAGCCACACUGGGACUGAGACACGGCCCAGACUCCUACGGGAGGCAGCAGUGGGGAAUUUUGGACAAUGGGGGAAACCCUGAUCCAGCCAUUCCGCGUGUGCGAUGAAGGCCUUCGGGUUGUAAAGCACUUUUGGCAGGAAAGAAAUCGCACCAAUUAAUACUUGGUGUGGAUGACGGUACCUGCAGAAUAAGCACCGGCUAACUACGUGCCAGCAGCCGCGGUAAUACGUAGGGUGCAAGCGUUAAUCGGAAUUACUGGGCGUAAAGCGUGCGCAGGCGGUUCGGAAAGAGAGGUGUGAAAUCCCAGGGCUCAACCUUGGAACUGCACUUUUAACUACCGAGCUAGAGUAUGUCAGAGGGGGGUGGAAUUCCGCGUGUAGCAGUGAAAUGCGUAGAUAUGCGGAGGAACACCGAUGGCGAAGGCAGCCCCCUGGGAUAAUACUGACGCUCAUGCACGAAAGCGUGGGGAGCAAACAGG
Molecule: ribosomal RNA, 700 nt
Filed under: uncultured beta proteobacterium
Lineage: Bacteria; Pseudomonadati; Pseudomonadota; Betaproteobacteria
Description: bacterial SSU rRNA
Rfam family: Bacterial small subunit ribosomal RNA
Source: RNAcentral